UACGAAGGGUGCAAGCGUUACUCGGAAUUACUGGGCGUAAAGGGUGCGUAGGUGGUCGUUUAAGUCCGUUGUGAAGUCCCUGGGCUCAACCUGGGAAUGGCAGUGGAUACUGGACGGCUAGAAUGCGGUAGAGGGUAGUGGAAUUCCCGGUGUAGCAGUGAAAUGCGUAGAUAUCUGGAGGAACACCGGUGGCGAAGGCGGCGACCUGGUCCUAUACUGACACUCAUACACGAAAGCGUGGGGAUCAAACAGG
This 253-nucleotide ribosomal RNA is filed under the name uncultured prokaryote. Its description in RNAcentral is "partial 16S ribosomal RNA". It matches the Rfam family "Bacterial small subunit ribosomal RNA", at positions 524 to 776 of the family's 1533-position model. The record is from RNAcentral.